This 254-nucleotide ribosomal RNA is filed under the name uncultured bacterium. RNAcentral describes it as "partial 16S ribosomal RNA". It matches the Rfam family "Bacterial small subunit ribosomal RNA", at positions 524 to 776 of the family's 1533-position model. The record is from RNAcentral.
UACGUAGGGGGCUAGCGUUGUCCGGAAUCAUUGGGCGUAAAGAGCGUGUAGGCGGCCCGGUAAGUCCGCUGUGAAAGUCGGGGGCUCAACCCUCGAAUGCCGGUGGAUACUGUCGGGCUAGAGUGCGGAAGAGGCGAGUGGAAUUCCUGGUGUAGCGGUGAAAUGCGCAGAUAUCAGGAGGAACACCAAUUGCGAAGGCAGCUCGCUGGGACGUAACUGACGCUGAGACGCGAAAGCGUGGGGGAGCAAACAGG